GACGAACGCUGGCGGCGUGCCUAAUACAUGCAAGUAGAACGCACAGUUUAUACCGUAGCUUGCUACACCAUAGACUGUGAGUUGCGAACGGGUGAGUAACGCGUAGGUAACCUGCCUGGUAGCGGGGGAUAACUAUUGGAAACGAUAGCUAAUACCGCAUAAUAUUAAUUAUUGCAUGAUAAUUAAUUGAAAGGUGCAAUUGCACCACUACCAGAUGGACCUGCGUUGUAUUAGCUAGUAGGUGAGGUAACGGCUCACCUAGGCGACGAUACAUAGCCGACCUGAGAGGGUGAACGGCCACACUAGGACUGAGACACGGCCCAGACUCCUACAGGGGGCAGCAGUAGGGGAUAUUCGGAAAGGGACGAAAGUCUGAACGAGCAAAGCCGCGUGAGUGAAGAAGGUUUUCGGAUCGUAAAGAUCUGUUGUAAGAGAAGAACGGGUGUGAGAGUGGAAAGUUCACACUGUGACGGUAUCUGACCAGAAAGGAACGGCUAACUACGUG
This 505-nucleotide ribosomal RNA is filed under the name uncultured bacterium. RNAcentral's name for it is "partial 16S ribosomal RNA". It matches the Rfam family "Bacterial small subunit ribosomal RNA", at positions 28 to 507 of the family's 1533-position model. The record is from RNAcentral.